This 298-nucleotide long non-coding RNA is filed under the name Linum usitatissimum (flax). Its description in RNAcentral is "long non-coding RNA (LUSI_LNC001008)". The record is from RNAcentral. Lineage: Eukaryota; Viridiplantae; Streptophyta; Magnoliopsida; Malpighiales; Linaceae.
GCCGUUCACUUUGACAUUUUCGCGAUUCUUCUGUUUCAAUUGUACGAACUAUUUAGGGUUUAAAUCAUCGUCUAAUUAGUAUGCUUUUGUUAUUGUAGUAGUUGUUGUUGUGUAAAAGUAAUGGCGGGGAGGAAUCGGAUCCCUCGUGAAGUGUACGGUGAUCAUCGCCAUGGGUUCCCUCCUGAUAGACACCACAUCCGUGGGCAUCCUAUGCCGCACCGUCCUCCACCUCCUCAUCCUGCUUUGCUGGAGGAGGAGAUUGAACGGCAGCAUGUUCAUAUGCGGAGGCUAUCGGGGG